AACGAACGCUGGCGGCAGGCCUAACACAUGCAAGUCGAGCGCGCCCUUCGGGGUGAGCGGCGGACGGGUGAGUAACGCGUGGGAACGUGCCCUUUUCUACGGAAUAGCCUCGGGAAACUGAGAGUAAUACCGUGUACGCACUUUGGGGGAAAGAUUUAUCGGAAAAGGAUCGGCCCGCGUUGGAUUAGGUAGUUGGUGGGGUAAUGGCCUACCAAGCCGACGAUCCAUAGCUGGUUUGAGAGGAUGAUCAGCCACACUGGGACUGAGACACGGCCCAGACUCCUACGGGAGGCAGCAGUGGGGAAUCUUAGACAAUGGGGGCAACCCUGAUCUAGCCAUGCCGCGUGAGUGAUGAAGGCCUUAGGGUUGUAAAGCUCUUUCAGCUGGGAAGAUAAUGACGGUACCAGCAGAAGAAGCCCCGGCUAACUCCGUG
Molecule: ribosomal RNA, 433 nt
Filed under: uncultured bacterium
Lineage: Bacteria
Description: partial 16S ribosomal RNA
Rfam family: Bacterial small subunit ribosomal RNA
Source: RNAcentral